GAUGAACGCUGGCGGCGUGCCUAAUACAUGCAAGUCGAGCGAACAGACGAGGAGCUUGCUCCUCUGACGUUAGCGGCGGACGGGUGAGUAACACGUGGAUAACCUACCUAUAAGACUGGGAUAACUGCGGGAAACCGGAGCUAAUACCGGAUAAUAUAUUGAACCGCAUGGUUCAAUAGUGAAAGACGGUUUUGCUGUCACUUAUAGAUGGAUCCGCGCCGCAUUAGCUAGUUGGUAAGGUAACGGCUUACCAAGGCAACGAUGCGUAGCCGACCUGAGAGGGGGAGCGGCCACACUGGAACUGAGACACGGUCCAGACUACUACGGGAGGCAGCAGUAGGGAAUGUUACGCAAUGGGCGAAAGCCUGACGGAGCAACGCCGCGUGAGUGAUGAAGGUCUUCGGAUCGUAGAACUCUGUUAUUAGGGAAGAACAAAUGUGUAAGUAACUAGGCACGUCUUGACGGUACCUAAUCAGAAAGCCACGGCUAACUACGUG
This 497-nucleotide ribosomal RNA is filed under the name uncultured bacterium. Its description in RNAcentral is "partial 16S ribosomal RNA". It matches the Rfam family "Bacterial small subunit ribosomal RNA", at positions 28 to 507 of the family's 1533-position model. The record is from RNAcentral.